Molecule: long non-coding RNA, 382 nt
Filed under: Anser cygnoides (Swan goose)
Lineage: Eukaryota; Metazoa; Chordata; Aves; Anseriformes; Anatidae
Description: lncRNA (ENSACDG00005002151.1)
Source: RNAcentral
AUGCGCAGUGGGUGGGAAAGGAGACUGGUCCCUGAAGGAAGGGAGAGUGGCUGUUGUGCACCUGCAGUCACGACACUUCCAUCAAUCUCCUUCAAAAGCCACCUUUGGAGCUUUCAGUUUCCUGAAAAAAUCAGAAAAUCCACUUGCUUAUCAGCUCUACGCAGCGUUUUGAAAGUGAUUGCACUGAGACCUCCUCCACACCGCACUGUGAGGAGGUAUUUGACGUCAUCUGCGUGGAAUAUGGUUGCCGAGGUUUGGCUCCGAGCUCCACCUUUCCUGGGUGUCCAUCACUGCCCAAGCACUGUGCAAACUGGAGCUGACAACCUGCCUUGCAGCUUCCAAUAAAAAUAAAUCUUUUUGUAUUAUUUUAAAACUGACUUCA